This 480-nucleotide ribosomal RNA is filed under the name Enterococcus faecalis. RNAcentral describes it as "bacterial SSU rRNA". It matches the Rfam family "Bacterial small subunit ribosomal RNA", at positions 54 to 505 of the family's 1533-position model. Lineage: Bacteria; Bacillati; Bacillota; Bacilli; Lactobacillales; Enterococcaceae. The record is from RNAcentral.
CAUGCAGUCGACCGCUUGCUUUCGUCCCGAGUGCUUGCACUCAAUUGGAAAGAGGAGUGGCGGACGGGUGAGUAACACGUGGGUAACCUACCCAUCAGAGGGGGAUAACACUUGGAAACAGGUGCUAAUACCGCAUAACAGUUUAUGCCGCAUGGCAUAAGAGUGAAAGGCGCUUUCGGGUGUCGCUGAUGGAUGGACCCGCGGUGCAUUAGCUAGUUGGUGAGGUAACGGCUCACCAAGGCCACGAUGCAUAGCCGACCUGAGAGGGUGAUCGGCCACACUGGGACUGAGACACGGCCCAGACUCCUACGGGAGGCAGCAGUAGGGAAUCUUCGGCAAUGGACGAAAGUCUGACCGAGCAACGCCGCGUGAGUGAAGAAGGUUUUCGGAUCGUAAAACUCUGUUGUUAGACAAGAACCAGGACGUUAGUAACUGAACGUCCCCUGACGGUAUCUAACCAGAAAGCCACGGCUAACUACG